RNAcentral lists this ribosomal RNA (253 nucleotides) under uncultured bacterium. Its description in RNAcentral is "partial 16S ribosomal RNA". It matches the Rfam family "Bacterial small subunit ribosomal RNA", at positions 524 to 776 of the family's 1533-position model. The record is from RNAcentral.
UACGUGGGGGGCAAGCGUUGUUCGGAAUUACUGGGCGUAAAGGGCUCGUAGGUGGCCAACUAAGUCAGACGUGAAAUCCCUCAGCUUAACUGGGGAACUGCGUCUGAUACUGGAUGGCUUGAGUUUGGGAGAGGGAUGCGGAAUUCCAGGUGUAGCGGUGAAAUGCGUAGAUAUCUGGAGGAACACCGGUGGCGAAGGCGGCAUCCUGGACCAAUACUGACACUGAGGAGCGAAAGCCAGGGGAGCAAACGGG